RNA transcript from Calidris pugnax (ruff), 11184 nucleotides. It is a transcript of the gene named spermatid perinuclear RNA binding protein, with no coding region annotated. The record is from RefSeq and is a predicted model, not a curated record. Lineage: Eukaryota; Metazoa; Chordata; Aves; Charadriiformes; Scolopacidae. The transcript has 20 exons.
CAGCCCCGCUCGCCGCUGCGGAGCCGGAGGAGCCGGACGGGGCCACGGAGCCGGGCCGGGGCCGGGGGGGGCUGCGCCGGGGCCGGCGGCGAGCGGGGUGAAUUACAGAAAGCGACUCCCGGAGCACCUUGGCUGUAUGAACUCUUGAGCUGUCAAGGGACUGAGAGGCUUAUGAAGAGGUUCUGUCAGGCAAAACAGCGCUUAGCAAAGACCCCAAGGAGGAGGGAAAAGGAGAAAGGGAGGGAGAGAAGCUGAAACACUAACAAACCAUGAGAUCUAUCCGAUCUUUUGCUAAUGAUGACCGCCAUGUUAUGGUGAAACAUUCAACCAUUUAUCCAUCUCCAGAGGAACUUGAAGCUGUCCAGAACAUGGUAUCAACAGUAGAAUGUGCCCUUAAACAUGUCUCUGACUGGAUGGAUGAAAAGAACAAGUCUACGAAAUGCGAGGGUGAUGUGGAAGCCAAGGAGGAAGCUGCAGAAAGCAAUGCCAAGGACCAAGGUGGCCGGACGUUGUGUGGUGUUAUGAGAAUCGGCUUGGUUGCGAAGGGCUUGCUGAUAAAGGACGAUAUGGAUCUGGAGCUGGUUCUCAUGUGCAAAGAAAAGCCCACAAAGACGUUGCUGUGUAUAGUUAAAGACAAUCUCCCAGCCCAAAUUCAGAAACUGACAGAAGAGAAGUAUCUUGUGGAGGAGCAUGUAAACGAGGCAGCUAUUAUUAUUCGUAACACAAAGGAGCCCAAGCUAACUUUGAAGGUGAUACUUACAUCCCCUCUCAUUCGAGAUGAAGCAGAGAAGAAGGAAGGAGUAGAUAAUGUUGCGAUGAAAGAUCCUCCGGACUUAUUGGACAGGCAGAAAUGCCUGGAGGCCUUGGCGUCUCUGCGGCACGCCAAAUGGUUUCAGGCCAGGGCAAAUGGACUAAAAUCAUGUGUAAUUGUCCUUCGUAUUCUGCGGGAUUUGUGCAACAGAGUCCCCACAUGGGCACCACUGAAAGGAUGGCCACUCGAGCUUAUAUGUGAAAAAUCUAUAGGUACUUGCAAUAGACCUUUGGGCGCUGGGGAAGCGUUGCGACGAGUGAUGGAGUGUUUGGCAUCUGGAAUUCUGCUUCCCGGAGGCCCUGGUCUGCACGACCCCUGCGAGCGGGAGCCAACAGACGCUUUGUCUUAUAUGACAGUUCAGCAAAAAGAAGCCAUUACGCACAGUGCUCAGCAUGCCCUCAGAUUAUCAGCCUUUGGUCAGAUCUAUAAGGUUUUGGAAAUGGAUCCCCUCCCAUCAAAUAAGUCAUUUCAGAAAUACUCCUGGUCAGUAAGUGACAAAGAAGGUACAGGCUCAUCUGCUCUUAAGAGACCAUUUGAAGACAGUGUCGGGGAUGAUAAAGAUCCAAAUAAAAAGAUGAAGCGUAAUCUGAGAAAAAUACUAGAUAGUAAAGCAAUAGAUCUCAUGAAUGCUCUGAUGAGGCUGAACCAAAUCAGGCCAGGGCUUCAGUAUAAGCUGCUGUCACAGUCUGGUCCAGUCCAUGCCCCAGUCUUCACAAUGUCUGUAGAUGUUGAUGGUACGACAUAUGAAGCAUCAGGACCUUCUAAGAAAACAGCCAAGCUCCAUGUGGCAGUGAAGGUUUUGCAAGCGAUGGGGUAUCCAACUGGUUUUGAUGCAGAUGUGGAGUGUAUGAGUUCUGAUGAAAAAUCAGAUACUGAAGGUAAAAAUGAAACAAUAUCUUCAAUCUCAAGCAAUAAUACUGGAAAUUCCACAGCUGACACCUCCGCUACCCUAGAGGUAAGAACUCAGGGUCCCAUACUCACAGCAAGUGGCAAAAACCCGGUGAUGGAGCUCAAUGAAAAGAGACGAGGUCUGAAGUACGAGCUCAUCUCCGAGACGGGAGGGAGCCACGACAAGCGCUUUGUGAUGGAGGUAGAAGUAGACGGGCAGAAGUUCAGAGGUGCAGGCCCAAAUAAGAAAGUAGCAAAAGCAAGCGCUGCAUUAGCAGCACUUGAGAAACUGUUCUCUGGGCCUAAUGCAGCAAACAACAAGAAAAAGAAGAUUCUUCCUCAGACUAAAGGGGUGGUCAAUACAGCUGUUUCUGCAGCAGUCCAGGCUGUGCGAGGCAGAGGACGAGGCGCUUUAACACGAGGGGCGUUUGUUGGGGCAGCUGCUGCUACUGGAUACAUAACACCAGGGUAUGGAGCACCGUACGGGUACAGCGCAGCUGCGCCAGCUUACGCCAUAUGCACUUGUAUAAAAUAAGCAGAAAUGUAGUGACUGUAAGCUGAGAUCGUGAUAUAAAAGCAUAAAAAGCUGUAUUGAUACUGCUGUGUGUCAGGCACCGCAUUCCUUUCGUACCUGUGGAAAGCGCUUGGGCAGGUACCAAAGCCACGGCCAUGGCCUGCGCUGAAGCCGUACCAUGGUUAUAGGUGCAAUUGAUGAGCCACCAGAAUGUCCUUCCCAUUCGGGGGAGCAGGUUUUCAUCUGCUGUUAUCUUCAAGGUGCAAACCUGGGGCUUGGUCUGAAGCUCACUUAAAAUUCAAUUCCUUCUUUCAGCCUGUCAGGCUGAGCAGUGCUGAUUGCGGAGCAGCAGGCUGCUCCCUUUGCUUCCAAAGACGGUAUUUUAUAUGUAUCAAGGCAAUGUUGAGGUACAUUAUAAUGAACUUCUCUCGAGUAUUCCUUUCCUAGGCUUAACUGAUGUCAGUCUGAGAAGCACUGUCCAGUUCAAGGACUGAUUAAUAAAAUGACUUGCUGACUCUUAUUUGAUCUGUUUCUUUGUGGCCUGUACUUGGCAGCUUAAUCCAUUUGUAUUAGUUUCCAUCAGAACAGCUUUGACUGUGAAUUUCCAUAUUUUUGUCAUUACCCUUUUAACUCUUUACAAGCUGAAGCAUUCCACUCUUUUGUUGUUUAAAUUCUCACCUUGUUGGAUCUUCUCUUUUUCACUGAAAAGAUACUAAAUUUCUCUAAUACGGUUUGGUUUGUAAAGCAAGUACUUGUGUCUGAAAUUUCUCCCUUUCCUGCACCGCCUCUCAGCAGGACAGACACCAUUUCCUGCCCUGCAAAAUACACCGAGUAUUUAAGACUCCUAAAUCCUGGUUUUUGCAGCCACGUGGAAUCAGUGAUAAGAUGAUGUGAGAUUGAUUAGGAACCUGUCUCACUGACUGUGGAACUUGAACAAAACAUUCCCAUGUACUGAAGGGUCACAGAUGUAGGCUCCUUAAGUGUGUAAUAUAUUGGCAUUUGAGAGAGCAGUUAAAUUCUAACAUUAGUUUUUAACCUAACUGAAACGCCAGUCUAUUAUCUGAUCAGUAAUUUGGGUAACAUCUGCUUGGUCAAUGUUGCAAUAAGCACCAUUUUGCUAAGGCAGAACUAGAAACUCCUUUCGUUCGCAUAAUACACGCGGGUUUCCUUUUAAAAGCCUCCUCACAGCAGCAUGGUCUGAAGUGCCUUUUCUGUGAGAUCAGAGGUCUCUUUUACGGCUACUGAGCUUUGUAUUUCUGGAUAUACCCAACGGCCAAAUAUGUAAACCUCAUUCCAUAUGCUUCCUGCAGCUGCUAGUGUCGUUGCCCAUUCUGUAGUACCUUUGCAGUGAAGCAAAAAUGCUGUAGUUUGCAUUUCUGGUUCAUGGAAAAGAAUUCUGAAAAAGUUCCUUUUGAUUAGUACAUGUGUAACUAGGGUACCAGGGAGAGUCUGUGCCUGUACACUACCCACCUGAACUCAAUUUUAGCUAACCAGAUGACAGUGUGUAUUUUGGGAGAUGGUGUCUGGCACUUAAAGGAUUAAAAGAAGCCAAGUUUUACAGUAAAGAAUCAACCUGUUUAAUGUGGUAUCCAUACUGGAGGCGGAUGCCAUUACCAGUGACUUUGUGAAAACAACUGCAAGUUCCAGUGGUGUGCUCGGUUAACUCUGGCAGAAGUGAGGCUAUUAACACAGGAGGGAUAAAAUACAGCCUGGUCCAAUGUUACAACAGCAUUUGAUUGCCAUUAGCUGCUCUUGCAUACGUACCCAUAAUCAGGCAGGUACUUCUUUCCCUUUUUACCCCAGUUUGGAUUUCAGGGGACCACGAGGCAGAAAUGUAUGGAUAACCAGCCUGGUACACUGUCUGACUGGUGUCUGACACGCCCGUGCAGGACAGCAGUUCUCUCUGGCCCACGUCCCCUUCAGAGAACUUAAUCCCAGUUGACUUUACACAGUUGUAGCAUUGGUGUAAGAGCAGCAUUGGUAUGACCUUGCUGUGAGGUAGAAGUGCUGUUUUCUUUUCUUUUGAAAUAGGUGAAAGCUAAACAUUAGUAUUUUUUAGGAAUUUGUCAGCACGUGACUUCAGAAGCACCCGGUGUAUCAUAUACAUGAUACAAAUUAGCUGGUUGCUCCUCUCCAAAAGUAGCUCUGCAAGGAGCUGGCACCUCCAUUUCACCAGCUGCAGUGGUUUUAAACAGCAGCCUCUACAGCUGGGAACCCUUCAGGACUGUGUACUAACCAUACCUCAGCAUUUUUCCUCCUGAUGGAGAAGUGGCAGCUGGAAUGCUUGUAGGACGUCAAUCCUACUUUGCCAGCCAUAUGAGAUUUCUCCAGGUAUGUUCCAUCUAGAGAAGGUUUUAAGGCAACCAGACUGGUCUGGAGGGCUUGGCUAGCUGAAAGCAUGGUCUGUGAUCCUUCCUGCCAUCGUGCCCUCUCUCUGCCAGUGCUUGCUGUCUCCCUUAAACACACGUUCAGGAGCUGGAACACAGUGACCUUAUUCCUGGGCGUUGUGCCACUUCCAUGGAGGGAGGCCAGCCUAAACUCAUGAAGGGAAUGUGUGACACACGGCCUCUGUUGCCCAAGCAAUUUCUGUUGGACACGGUGCACCAUCCAACCCUCACAAAGGCAAUUUAGAGCCCGGGUAGGUGGUUCCUGAUCUGUCCAAUUUGCUGUCAUGUAGCCAAUGUGAGUUAAUUAGAUGAUUCAGCAAUUGUCAUGGUUCCCACUUAAUGUGCUGUAAACCCUGCUGCCGUGACUCUCACUGCAGUUAAAUGCCUUUGCUUCUGGGAAUUCUGUCCUCCUUCCCUGCGUUUUCUGAUCACCUUCUAGCAUCCCAGUAAAUAAUUGAUUCUCUCAAAUUAUGGAAUUGUUACACAGAAGUUCUAGAUUCUUAAAACCUUUUAAUCAGCUUCUGAAGAAUUUCAGAGAAACAAGUUUUCCUACAAAUAUUUCAACAUUAGUGUGUCAAGGGAUUAUUUCUACUCAUUUACAAAGAUCUCUGAAAACCACUCUGGUAUCUCGGGAGACUAGAAUUCUUUCUUUGAGAACGCUUGCCUUCUGGUAGGAAAAAAGAUUUAAAGUGUGUCUUACUCAGUAAAAGACUAUGCCCUCUAGCCACUGAAAGAACUUAAUUGGGGGAAAACGCACAAUGUAAAAUUAUUGAGGCUUUUUCAUUUCAUUGAACUAUUGAGAAAAACUUCCCUGUCCACAAGUUUCUUAUAUUAGUAGGAAGUAGAAAAUAAAGAGUGGCAUGAAGAUUUAUCAAGUGGUCUAUGAAAAAAUUUUCCGGUUUGUUGGCUGUUCAACUAUGGGCAUCAGUCUCUUGGCACUUCUUCUAAAACUCCAAGAUAGCAAUAAAUGUGAGCAGCUUCAACGUCCCAUCCCUUAUCCAGUCCCAGUAACGUCCUUGGAGAGCGAGCCUGGCAGUUCCUGUCUUUUCUGUCACCGAUGCCCUGAGAGAAAGUGUCCCUUGCUUCAUUUGUAUUCUGCAUCUGUGCUGCUGAGAGCCCACGGAUCAUCGCAGUCUAGAGGUGGGAUCCUGAACAUCUCUCCAGAACCAUAUAAAUGAAAAGCAAGCAGACAAUAUAGAAUUUCACUCUUUACUAAGACAAAAUUGCAAGUUUCCCUCUGCCUCUCUUGCUUGGUAGGUUGAGAUAGGAUCAUUCAGUAUUAGAACUUCUUGCCUUUAGCUAAAUUCCCUGUAGACAGUUGCCUACUUAAUCAAGAGAAAAGUAUGUCCCAGGUUCAGAUGAAUUCCAAGUCACAGUAGCAGCUUACAAAAAUGGCUACUAUUUCCACUGGCUCUGGGAAAACAGCACAAAACUGCUGCACUGGAUUCUUUUGGAUGCAUGAUGAGAUAUGUAAAUUUGAAGUUCAGAUUGUUGGUCUCGGUUGUGAAACUGACUAAGACCUCUCCUCUCUGGCAUCAAAAGAAUGAAAAUGAGCUCUCUGCUGGACUCACUGAGGAGCUGUACUUCCUUAAAAAACAGGAACUCAGCUUGAACAUUCAGGACAAAGACCCUCUCAGGCUUCCUGCUGAAUAAAUCUAUUGAAAAAAUGAGAUACCUUACUGACUUAUUUCAAGCAAUGCAAAGGGAUACUGUAGUUGCAUCUGCUAUCUAUAGUAUAUGAGACAGCUUGUCUAACAGCUCAUUGGUUUCAUUCGUCUGUUUCAGCACAUCUAGUUUGUUGUGAAUCUGAUCCUUAUUGUGAAAAUUGUUAUAGUCAUUUUAGAAAUCCAGUAGAGAAACUCUGCACUGAAGUCCAGUGCCUAUGGACUGUGUCAGCAGUUUUCAACUGUACUUUCUUUUGAACAUUAACCACUUAAGCUAGUAAUAAAGCGUUUGACAUGAAUUGUCAUCACAAAGUUGUUUUAUUACUUGACCUCAGAAGUUAUGUCUCCUUAGCUGUAUCUGUGUCAUCAAAAUCCAUACCUAUUUAUGUCCCAGUAUUCUAGUGCUCCUGAAACAUCCUCCUUUUCCCCACUGUGCCCAUAGAAAUGGGACUGAUUCCAUUGUUCAUCUGUAACUGAUGUGUAAGACAAUACAGAAGCGUCAGUAGGACACAUCCGCCUGUCCCUCUAGUCCGGGGUCUUCUAGGAGAAAGGGUGCUUUUUCUGCUGGAGGCAAUGCAAUGCCUUACUAACAGUAGCUGUGUGAGUUUUCUGAGAGAAGAGUUCAUCAUAGUAUAAGAUUUAAAUUCAGUGGUUUUUUUCUCCAGUUCCUGUGGCUGCAUGAAAUGUUCAGACCACAUGUUUACCUUGAUGUUUAAGAAGAGCUGAAUGUCCAAACGUGGAACAUGGAGAUGUUCAAUUCUAAAGCAAAUAUCUCAUUUUGGAUGUUGUUGUAUCUUGUAUUUGGUGCCUUAACUGUACAAUCCAAGGUCAGAUAUAUACUGUACAACAGGUAGUUAAGUGUACUUUAAAAGAACCCAUCAAGCCUAGUCUACAGAAACUGUUGCAAAGCCUUCUCAGUGGGAGAGUUCUCUUCCAUAUUUAAUUAAUAAUCCAUUGAUGAACAAGAGUCGCAAGAAUUUAAAGUGCAUAUAAAAAUUGUAACCACAGAUUAAGAUUGAAUUUAUCUGAUUUCCAACUUCGAAGGUUUGUGGCAAUAAGAUAAUUAAAGGUACAGUCUCUUCUAUGCUGUGUAAGUAAACAUCAAAAUGUUUUCUACCUAGCCAGAAGUGCAUGUUUGUGAAAACCUCUGGACUGUUAUCUCUAGUAGAACAAAUGACACUAAUUCUAAAAGCAAUUAAUUGAAUGUAAUUGGCUGUCCUUCAUUCAUUGAUACAGAGGAGCUGGAAUGAGUAAAAGUUGCAAUUAAUUUUUAAUUCCAAAAUAGCACAUAGACUUAAGGCGCGUUCCUGCCUCUUACCUGGGUGUCGAAGCGCCGGGUGCCUUACGCUGCUCUGCGGUUCCCGAGGUGCAGUGCAGCUCCCACCUGAACAUGGGCUGGCCGAAUGCAGCUGGUCCUGGGAGAAUGGACUGAGGCAAGAGAGAGAGAGAAAAGACAAAAAUGAAGCUAGAAUGACCUUCUCCAGUCUUAAAGGUCGAUCGUCGCAGAUAGGAAGUGGGGGGGAAAGCUGCACCUCCUUUUCCAAGUCCAUUCCUAGUCUGUGGUAAAACCAGGAGGUUUAUGUCUACUGUGGUAAACCAGGAGCCUUAGUAUACUAAGAGCAGGGGGAGAUGGUAUUGGUUUUUUAAAUGGUUUAUAAGAAAUUAGAUAGGAGGUUUAAGCUAUCCUUACAGCAGGCUAAAAGCUGCUAGUGAUGUUGCUACAGGCAAUUAAUAUUUUUUUUUCUGUUCAGUAAACAAAUCCAGCAUGGAAGGUUUUCCAGAGGAGAAAGAUGAACAGGAAAAAUCCAGUGCACAAAUUCUAUUUCCUGAUAGAGCCCUGUCCAGAGCAGGAAGACUGCUCCAGGCAGUGCACAUAGCAUGCAACUGAAUUUUGGCAGCAAAAGGAAUAAUAGUAAUUUCCCCUAAAGGAAUACUAGUAACUUAUUUCUACAAUGCCCACGGUAUUCCAGACAACUUCAUUUUACACAGAACAUCAUUGCAACAAGGGAAAGCAGAUACUGCUUCCACAACUACAUGUUAUAAUGUACAUAUUUCAGGUCACCAACAUUGGUGUAACCACUUAUGACAAAGUAGGUUCAUCUUGCCAGAAAAGCAUAUUUUGACAUUCUAUCCACUUCUAUUUUUUUUAAGCUAGAGGAGAGUUAAUUAUAGCACUCAUCUGUUUUGAAGGGAGUAGAGCAGAAGGUAAGUUUUAACUUCAUAUUUCGAAGCUGCUAUGAAUAAGUUGAUUAACAGUGUUCCAUGGAAACAACCUGAUGUACUUAAUUAUUUUCUUUGUGCUCAUUUCUAUGUUCUUAGAAAAGCACAAGCUUGUUUAAGCAUAAUCAAUACAAAGUUACUCAGGGUACUGUGUCAUCUCAGCAGUGGACACUAAAUGCAUCUUAAGUCAACAGGCACAUAUAAAUCAAGCUUAAUUAAGAGGAAAAGAACAUCUUGGCAGGUUUUGCUUUGCUACUGGCACCGUUACAAUUUAAUGAUCUAUGCAUAGGGAAAUGUAUGUAUUGCUGCACUCCCAAUAAAACUUGUAGGUCUGUAAGGGCAUCCUUUAAACUAACAAAGUAAAAUGUUAGCGUAGGAGAGAGAGUAUUCUUAUUUCCACAAAGAACCGUUUAGAAGCAGACCCAAAGUGAUACUGAUCCAAGCAGAAUAAUGGUGGGCUGAAGAACAGCAUUCAGAGCAGUACAGCUUUUGAAAAGUUAGCAAUUGUGUGAAUUUAAUUAUGAAAAUUCUAAUUUGCCAUAUGGAAUUUUUCCUGUGUUUUCAAAGCAGUAUCACUGGUUCCCUGCUCAAAAUAACAGGAUAAAGACAAGUAUAGUUUUCUAAUACCAUCUAUUGCAUGGGAAUAUCCUCAUACUGGAAGAAAACGGAGGCUGUAAUGCAGAGGGCAUAUUCAACUACAGAGCCAUUCUCUGGGCAAUGCUGCAUUAUUUAAGAGUGGGUAAAUAUGCCUUCAGGGACAACACGACACAGAACAGAUGUUUUAAAAAAAACAACCAACCAAACAGAAAAAAAGCCUCAAAGCUUUGUCCAAUCAUACAUUUCCUCUUCCCUGAAAAAGGGACAGGUACAUUCAUAUGUGCUUAGUGAGUUAUACAUCAGCCAUCACAAAGGUCCUUAAGGACAAAUGUUUCUAAGCUGGUCUGCUUUUGGACAGAAAAGGGAGAACGUUGACUCUGUCUUCCAGUUCCAAAGUGCAGUGUCUUAUUUCUGAUCCUAACCCUAAGUCAAUAUUUAUUGAUCAAACUGACUAAGCUUUUUAGGUCGACAAACUCUCUACGAAGCAAUUCUGUUCUCUCAAGCCUCUGCAGGGGCCAGCAACUGGUGCUUAACUACUGCUUCCACUCCAGAAUGUCACCCGUCCUCCAGCUGUCCCAGAGCCACUCUGGGACACUUGCACUUCUAAGAGAGCAACACUGCUGUGGGGGGACUGUCAAAGCACUGAGAUACUACAGCAGAGCAAGUCCCUGUGGGCUGUAUGCUUCUUAAAGUCCUGUCCAGUUCUUAGUGACAAAGUUGAGCAUGAAACCUGUACUGCCAAACGUACCAGCCCCUUCAUGAGAAGGACAUCUAUGGGAAGCAGUCUUGGAAGUGGAGAUUUUGAGGAAAGGCUGGUGUUUUCCAAGUCCAACUCAUAAGUUGUUUUGGGGUUUUUUUAAGUGGUUGAGUUUCCACCCUACAAAAAAUCACCAUCAGUCAAAUCAAUUAGAACAAUUGCUGCUAAUUUGGGCUAAAACAUUCCCCUUGUAUAACCCAAACUACCACCACCCAUCCAUCUAAGGAAUUCUUAAGCAAAGAAUCCUCAGGAGGCGGAGCCCUGCUAAGAGUCUGCACACUAGAAGGCAGACAGGAAAUGUGGCAGUGCAGUAGAAUGUGACUUUUCUAAUGACACGUGCUUCUACAAGACAAGGAGAAGAGAGAGGCAGUGCUUUGGGGCAGUGUUUCAUGCUCAGCAAGUUUGUAGAGGGAAGGAAUGCAAUUCUAUAAAUCACUUGUACUGUAUUUCUGUUUCUAGACUUGAAUGAAUUUCACUUUUCCUUUGUGGGUCAGCAUAGUAAACAUUAAAGAAAAGAUCUAUUUUUCUAAAAUCUCUUUCACCCAUAGAGGUCUGACCUGCAGCCAACAGAUGGAUUUAUUUAUCCACAGAGGACAGAGUGUUUAUUUUUACACUAAGAUUGGAUAUGGCAUUGAAAAAAAAGAAGUAUGACCUUUGAACUAUCUAAACCUUAACUACUAUGAACAAAUUCCACAAAUGAGUAAUUUGGUGGUCAAUUCCAUCUUUCUUCCCAAUGAAUCUCUCUCUCCAAAAAAGUUACCCAGAAUUAAACUUCCAAAUGAAGUACAAGAGAUCCUUUUGGUCUAAUUGCAGACUACUUUCAAAAAAUUUAAGAUUUCUCCCAAGUUUUAAUCUGUAGAAAACAAUGACAAUUAAACUAUUCCUGACUAUACUGUAAAUAAUGCAACUUCAAAUAAAGUAAUUCGGCAACAACCUUAGCUAUUUAUAGCAUUAAAAAUGUAAUCUGAACAUUCGAGUUGUCUUAAUUUGGUAGCAGCUGAAUGGGAAGAAAAAUAACUGCACACUGAAUUUUACAUUGAGCUAUAUCUACUCACUAGCCAAAAAAGCCUGCAAAUGUAAAGUAAAUGGAAUGCUCUUUGUACAUUAAGUUGCUUCCUCCCGUGAUGCUGUACCCUGUACACUUGGCUUCAUCUGGCUUCUGUGUUGUGGUUUGUACGCCAGCCACUGUUACUAACUGUACACAACACUUAGAUCUGCACUGUAAUCUCGGUUCAUUUGCCACUGACUGUAACCCGAUGCUACAGACUUCUCUGUAUAUAAAACCGUAACCAUAUCCCAUUUGCUUCCAAUAGCAUACAAUAAAGGCUUAUCUCUGUAAACAGGAA